Molecule: long non-coding RNA, 1063 nt
Filed under: Felis catus (domestic cat)
Lineage: Eukaryota; Metazoa; Chordata; Mammalia; Carnivora; Felidae
Description: lncRNA (ENSFCAG00000043823.2)
Source: RNAcentral
UUAACUGAAUAUUGACUAAAGUCUAGCGUUAGGACCUAGGUACAUGAAAUACAAAAGGGCACAAAACUGACCCUUUUACCAAAAAGAAAAGAAAAGGAAGGAAGGAAGGAAGGAAGGAAGGAAGGAAGGAAGGAAGGAAGGAAGGAAGAAACAAACAAAGGAAAGAGGUAGAGAGGGAGGAAGAAUAAAAAGGAAAAUAACUUUUUCCUUUCGAUUUUGGAGAAAAUCAAGCAAAUAAAAAAAAAUGAAACUGAAACUAUUUGCCAACCUUGCUACUUGAUUGAAGCAAUUACAUUAGAAAACUCUUUUUGGAGUUUUCUGUAAGUAAAUAGAUGUGUUUGCAACUAUAGAACAUUUCUAAUACUCUUACAGUUUCAUGUAGCCUAAAAACAGAGAGUAUAACAUAGAUAGUAGACCCUGAGCAGCUUUAGCAAGAAAAAAAAAAGUUGAACAGUAAGGACUGUGCUAUCCAUGUUUCUCUUCCAAAGAGCAAGCUUGAUUAUAACUCUUCAGAUUUGCAAGUUACUCAUCUGAGUAAAGGGGGGAGAUGUAUCAGCCUUCUCUGGCCACAGCUGAGCAGGUGACAGAGCAAACUGGCAGCAGGAAACAUUAACAGAAGGAGCCAGAGAGUUUCCUGCCCAGGCCAACAGAGAGGAGAGGGAAGAAGAGGAAAGAAAAUGGUAACAGAAAUGUUUCUAAUGCCAGAAAUGUAAGAGUGCCUUUGUUAUAAAACACAGGCAUCGAUUUCCUGUUUCCAUAACUUGUGAUUGCAGGUAUCUCCUCCAGGAAUAUAGAAAUAGAAAGCAGGGAAACUAUGUAUACAGUGUCAAGGCAAUAAAAUGCCUCUCUCAGGACCUAAAAGUGGCCCCUGAAAUUGGAUGCAACUACCAGGUAAAGAACAUAAUCUCUAUAAAACUUGAAAAACAUGUAGAGUUCUGUUUUGUAUUUUGAAUAUAAAAUUUACCCUUGUCACUAAUUUUAAUAUCAAAAAUCGUCAUCAAAUUAGAAAUUAAUCUCAUGAUUCACAAAUAAAUAUUUUCUGUUUUAAGAAAGUAUAGUUGCU